This 253-nucleotide ribosomal RNA is filed under the name uncultured bacterium. RNAcentral's name for it is "partial 16S ribosomal RNA". It matches the Rfam family "Bacterial small subunit ribosomal RNA", at positions 524 to 776 of the family's 1533-position model. The record is from RNAcentral.
UACGAAGGGGGCGAGCGUUGUUCGGAAUUACUGGGCGUAAAGGGCGCGUAGGCGGCCGAUCAAGUCAGAUGUGAAAGUCCUGGGCUUAACCUGGGGACUGCAUUUGAUACUGAUUGGCUUGAAUGCAGGAGAGGAUAGCGGAAUUCCCAGUGUAGAGGUGAAAUUCGUAGAUAUUCGCAAGAACACCAGUGGCGAAGGCGGCUUACUGGUCCGGUUCUGACGCUGAGGCGCGAAAGCGUGGGGAGCAAACAGG